This 259-nucleotide long non-coding RNA is filed under the name Ananas comosus (pineapple). RNAcentral's name for it is "long non-coding RNA (ACOM_LNC018313)". The record is from RNAcentral. Lineage: Eukaryota; Viridiplantae; Streptophyta; Magnoliopsida; Poales; Bromeliaceae.
AUUGUAGGGAGUAGUUACAUAUCUAUCACUAGAUCUCUCCUGUAGAGGAAAUUGGGAGGGGAAUAUCUUUUGUGAGUGGGGCUUGAUAGGGAUGUUUGAGAUUAUCCAAACCAUGUGCUGCAAAGGUAUGCUUGCAUUCAAAAGGGGCACUGCAUAGAUUGAAUGUUAGUUGAGAAUGAUGUGAAUUUUAAGGUUGGUAACAUAAAGAAGAAAUUUUUUUUAAAAAAAAGAAGAUAUUUUGGGUUUGAAACAUUAGUAA